Molecule: ribosomal RNA, 682 nt
Filed under: bacterium SCSIO13101
Lineage: Bacteria
Description: bacterial SSU rRNA
Rfam family: Bacterial small subunit ribosomal RNA
Source: RNAcentral
UGCAGUCGAGCGGAACGAGUUAUCUGAACCUUCGGGGAACGAUAACGGCGUCGAGCGGCGGACGGGUGAGUAAUGCCUGGGAAAUUGCCCUGAUGUGGGGGAUAACCAUUGGAAACGAUGGCUAAUACCGCAUAAUAGCUUCGGCUCAAAGAGGGGGACCUUCGGGCCUCUCGCGUCAGGAUAUGCCCAGGUGGGAUUAGCUAGUUGGUGAGGUAAGGGCUCACCAAGGCGACGAUCCCUAGCUGGUCUGAGAGGAUGAUCAGCCACACUGGAACUGAGACACGGUCCAGACUCCUACGGGAGGCAGCAGUGGGGAAUAUUGCACAAUGGGCGCAAGCCUGAUGCAGCCAUGCCGCGUGUAUGAAGAAGGCCUUCGGGUUGUAAAGUACUUUCAGCAGUGAGGAAGGCGGGUACGUUAAUAGCGUGCUCGUUUGACGUUAGCUGCAGAAGAAGCACCGGCUAACUCCGUGCCAGCAGCCGCGGUAAUACGGAGGGUGCGAGCGUUAAUCGGAAUUACUGGGCGUAAAGCGCAUGCAGGUGGUUUGUUAAGUCAGAUGUGAAAGCCCGGGGCUCAACCUCGGAAUUGCAUUUGAAACUGGCAGACUAGAGUACUGUAGAGGGGGGUAGAAUUUCAGGUGUAGCGGUGAAAUGCGUAGAGAUCUGAAGGAAUACCGGUGGCGAA